RNAcentral lists this ribosomal RNA (301 nucleotides) under uncultured bacterium. RNAcentral's name for it is "partial 16S ribosomal RNA". It matches the Rfam family "Bacterial small subunit ribosomal RNA", at positions 509 to 809 of the family's 1533-position model. The record is from RNAcentral.
CAGCAGCCACGGUAAUACGAGGGGUGCAAGCGUUACUCGGAUUGAUUGGGUGUAAAGGGUGUGCAGACGGCUUAUUAAGUCACUUGUUAAAUUCAUCGGCCUAACUGAAGGUCUGCAAGUGAUACUGAUGAGCUAGAGGGUGGAAGAGAGAAGUGGAAUUCUCGGAGUAGCGGUAAAAUGCGUAGAUCUCGAGAGGAACACCAAUGGCGAAGGCAGCUUCUUGGUCCAUUCCUGACGUUCAUACACGAAAGCGUGGGGAGCAAACAGGAUUAGAUACCCCGGUAGUCCCUGUCUCUUAUAA